AGACUUUGAGCCACACAUUUACUUUUUACUGCUUAUGAGCAUUGAGUGUGGUCAAGCUGUGUAGAACCUUAGGAGCUUGUCAUGUGGUUAAAAUCAAGGUUCACUUGCACGUUCACUCAUAUAUGCUGAUUCUACUCCGAAAGUAUGCAUGCACAUACAUCCACUCAUUUCCAUCUCCAGAUUCACCCAAAAUUAUUCUACUCCUAAUCCGGGAGAGAAUAGCCAAAAACAUUUUCCUAUCCCUGUUAUUCCCUGUGAAAUAAAUGCUCCAGUUAUUUUGGUUACUACCACUUGCUACAUUAUUUCAGGAGAUGAGUGCUCUAAAAAAAAGAAUAAUAAUAAUAAUAAUACGAGGAAAUAAAAAGGGGCAAGUGCCCGGAACCUCGAAGAAAAGAAAAAGUGAGACGAGAGGUAAAAAUGGACAAGUGUCCGACAGUAGAAUUAGGGGUACAAGAUACCCACCUGAGAGGAAAGAAAAAGAAAAUAUAGAGCAUCUCAUUCUCCCCAAAAAGCUUCAAAGUGCAAGAAAGGUAUGUAUCCCCUUAAAAGAGCAAAAAUAGAAUUAGACUUUCACCAUUGUUAUCACCAUCAUUACCAUACACCAUUCAUUCGCCACACAUGCACAUCUUGAUUUGACUUAUUGACUUGUUUCUCUGGAUCCAUGGUUUGACUAUGCAAUAAAUGUCUUGUAAGUAUGUAUUAGCUGUCUCCGACCUAUGAGCUCCAGAUAUCAAAACCUUAUUAGAGUAAGGUGAGAGAGAAAGCAUAUACCAUUACUGCCUUGGUAAGGAUCCAGAAAUACCACAAAAGAGAGAUUUGAGAGAGUCAUACAAGGAAUCUCUGAGUUUUAUUUAAAAAUCUACAAAAACUCCAGAGCUAUAGCUGAUCAAGAAUAAGAGACAUGGCGCUUGACUUGACCGUUCUAUCUUUUAACUGCUCAAGACACAAGUGACGGUUACAAGCCCCAUGGUGAAAGGUAAAAUGAGUAAGUUUUAAGUCUUAACAGUUUAUUCUAACUCAGAGACG
Molecule: long non-coding RNA, 1026 nt
Filed under: Sorghum bicolor (sorghum)
Lineage: Eukaryota; Viridiplantae; Streptophyta; Magnoliopsida; Poales; Poaceae
Description: long non-coding RNA (SBIC_LNC008301)
Source: RNAcentral